CAGCCGCCGCGGUAAUACUAGCGGUCCAAGUCGCAGCCAUUUUUAUUGGGUCUAAAACAUCCGUAGCUUGUUUGAUAAGUUUCUUGUGAAAUUUUGCAUCUUAAAUGUAGAGCGCGCAAGAAAUACUGUCAAGCUAGAGACUGGAAGACGUGAGAAGUAUGUUCAAAGUAGCGGUAAAAUGUGUUAAUCUUGAGCAGACUAACAAUAGCGAAGGCAUCUCACGAGGACAGUUCUGACAGUAAGGGAUGAAGGCUAGGGGCGCAAAACGGAUUAGAUACCCGUGUAGUCCUAGCAGUAAACACUGCACACUAAACAUUAGUACCUCCUCGAGAGGUAUUGGUGCUGAAGGGAAGCCGAAGAGUGUGCUACCUGGGAAGUAUAGUCGCAAGGCCGAAACUUAAAGGAAUUGGCG
RNAcentral lists this ribosomal RNA (412 nucleotides) under uncultured archaeon. RNAcentral describes it as "bacterial SSU rRNA". It matches the Rfam family "Archaeal small subunit ribosomal RNA", at positions 459 to 870 of the family's 1478-position model. The record is from RNAcentral.